RNAcentral lists this ribosomal RNA (1434 nucleotides) under uncultured organism. RNAcentral's name for it is "16S ribosomal RNA". It matches the Rfam family "Bacterial small subunit ribosomal RNA". The record is from RNAcentral.
GAUGAACGCUAGCUACAGGCUUAACACAUGCAAGUCGAGGGGCAUCAGGAAGAAAGCUUGCUUUCUUUGCUGGCGACCGGCGCACGGGUGAGUAACACGUAUCCAACCUGCCCUUUACUCGGGGAUAGCCUUUCGAAAGAAAGAUUAAUACCCGAUAGCAUAAUGAUUCCGCAUGGUUUCAUUAUUAAAGGAUUCCGGUAAAGGAUGGGGAUGCGUUCCAUUAGGUUGUUGGUGAGGUAACGGCCCACCAAGCCUUCGAUGGAUAGGGGUUCUGAGAGGAAGGUCCCCCACAUUGGAACUGAGACACGGUCCAAACUCCUACGGGGGGCAGCAGUGAGGAAUAUUGGUCAAUGGGCGCUAGCCUGAACCAGCCAAGUAGCGUGAAGGAUGAAGGCUCUAUGGGUCGUAAACUUCUUUUAUAUAAGAAUAAAGUGCAGUAUGUAUACUGUUUUGUAUGUAUUAUAUGAAUAAGGAUCGGCUAACUCCGUGCCAGCAGCCGCGGUAAUACGGAGGAUCCGAGCGUUAUCCGGAUUUAUUGGGUUUAAAGGGAGCGUAGGUGGACUGGUAAGUCAGUUGUGAAAGUUUGCGGCUCAACCGUAAAAUUGCAGUUGAUACUGUCAGUCUUGAGUACAGUAGAGGUGGGCGGAAUUCGUGGUGUAGCGGUGAAAUGCUUAGAUAUCACGAAGAACUCCGAUUGCGAAGGCAGCUCACUGGACUGCAACUGACACUGAUGCUCGAAAGUGUGGGUAUCAAACAGGAUUAGAUACCCUGGUAGUCCACACAGUAAACGAUGAAUACUCGCUGUUUGCGAUAUACAGUAAGCGGCCAAGCGAAAGCAUUAAGUAUUCCACCUGGGGAGUACGCCGGCAACGGUGAAACUCAAAGGAAUUGACGGGGGCCCGCACAAGCGGAGGAACAUGUGGUUUAAUUCGAUGAUACGCGAGGAACCUUACCCGGGCUUAAAUUGCAGUGGAAUGAUGUGGAAACAUGUCAGUGAGCAAUCACCGCUGUGAAGGUGCUGCAUGGUUGUCGUCAGCUCGUGCCGUGAGGUGUCGGCUUAAGUGCCAUAACGAGCGCAACCCUUAUCUUUAGUUACUAACAGGUUAUGCUGAGGACUCUAGAGAGACUGCCGUCGUAAGAUGUGAGGAAGGUGGGGAUGACGUCAAAUCAGCACGGCCCUUACGUCCGGGGCUACACACGUGUUACAAUGGGGGGGUACAGAAGGCAGCUAGCGGGUGACCGUAUGCUAAUCCCAAAAUCCUCUCUCAGUUCGGAUCGAAGUCUGCAACCCGACUUCGUGAAGCUGGAUUCGCUAGUAAUCGCGCAUCAGCCACGGCGCGGUGAAUACGUUCCCGGGCCUUGUACACACCGCCCGUCAAGCCAUGGGAGCCGGGGGUACCUGAAGUACGUAACCGCAAGGAUCGUCCUAGGGUA